AGACCCUGGCUCUGAACGAGCGCAUCAUGCUCUCGCUCGUCAGCACUGGGGACUGCCCAUUCAUUGUCUGCAUGUCAUACGCGUUCCACACUCCAGACAAGCUCAGCUUCAUCCUAGACCUCAUGAACGGUGGGGACCUGCACUACCACCUGUCCCAGCACGGGGUCUUCUCAGAGGCUGACAUGCGCUUCUAUGCGGCCGAGAUCAUCCUGGGCCUGGAGCACAUGCACAACCGCUUCGUGGUCUACCGGGACCUGAAGCCGGCCAACAUCCUUCUGGACGAGCAUGGCCACGUGCGGAUCUCGGACCUGGGCCUGGCCUGCGACUUCUCCAAGAAGAAGCCCCAUGCCAGCGUGUGAGUGCCCCCCACCCUCUCCCUCCCCACCCCUUGCCACUCCCGCUCAUGGCCCCCUUGCUCUCACAGGGGCACCCACGGGUACAUGGCUCCAGAGGUCCUGCAGAAGGGCGUGGCCUACGACAGCAGUGCCGACUGGUUCUCUCUGGGAUGCAUGCUCUUCAAGUUGCUGCGGGGGCACAGCCCCUUCCGGCAGCACAAGACCAAAGACAAGCAUGAGAUCGACCGCAUGACGCUGACGAUGGCCGUGGAGCUGCCCGACUCCUUCUCCCCUGAAUUACGCUCCCUGCUGGAGGGGUUGCUGCAGAGGGAUGUCAACCGGAGACUGGGCUGCCUGGGCCGAGGUACCCUCCCCCGCUGAUCCCCCCACGAGGGGAGGUGAACGCAGCCGACGCCUUCGACAUUGGCUCCUUCGAUGAGGAGGACACAAAAGGAAUCAAGUUACUGGACAGUGAUCAGGAGCUCUACCGCAACUUCCCCCUCACCAUCUCGGAGCGGUGGCAGCAGGAGGUGGCAGAGACUGUCUUCGACACCAUCAAUGCUGAGACAGACCGGCUGGAGGCUCGCAAGAAAGCCAAGAACAAGCAGCUGGGCCAUGAG
This 955-nucleotide small RNA is filed under the name Pongo abelii (Sumatran orangutan). RNAcentral describes it as "processed transcript". Lineage: Eukaryota; Metazoa; Chordata; Mammalia; Primates; Hominidae. The record is from RNAcentral.